GAUGAACGCUGGCGGCGUGCCUAAUACAUGCAAGUCGAGCGAACAGACGAGGAGCUUGCUCCUCUGACGUUAGCGGCGGACGGGUGAGUAACACGUGGAUAACCUACCUAUAAGACUGGGAUAACUUCGGGAAACCGGAGCUAAUACCGGAUAAUAUAUUGAACCGCAUGGUUCAAUAGUGAAAGACGGUUUUGCUGUCACUUAUAGAUGGAUCCGCGCCGCAUUAGCUAGUUGGUAAGGUAACGGCUUACCAAGGCAACGAUGCGUAGCCGACCUGAGAGGGUGAUCGGCCACACUAGAACUGAGACACGGUCCAGACUCCUACGGGAGGCAGCAGUAGGGAAUCUUCCGCAAUGGGCGAAAGCCUGACGGAGCAACGCCGCGUGAGUGAUGAAGGUCUUCGGAUCGUAAAACUCUGUUAUUAGGGAAGAACAAAUGUGUAAGUAACUAUGCACGUCUUGAUGGUACCUAAUCAGAAAGCCACGGCUAACUACGUG
Molecule: ribosomal RNA, 497 nt
Filed under: uncultured bacterium
Lineage: Bacteria
Description: partial 16S ribosomal RNA
Rfam family: Bacterial small subunit ribosomal RNA
Source: RNAcentral